AGUGAAUAGAUACCCGGGUAGUCCCAGCUGUAAACGAUGCAGACUCGGUGAUGGACUAGCUUAAAUGCUAGUCCAGUGCCGCAGGGAAGCCGUUAAGUCUGCCGCCUGGGUAGUACGGUCGCAAGACUGAAACUAAGGAAUUGGCGGGGGAGCACCACAAGGGGUGAAAGCCUGCGGUUCAAUUGGAGUCAACGCCGGGAAUCUUACCGGGGGCGACAGCAGAGUGAAGGUCAAGCUGAAGACUUUACUAGACAAGCUGAGAGGAGGUGCAUGGCCGUCGCCAGCUCGUGCCGUGAGGUGUCCUGUUAAGUCAGGUAACGAGCGAGACCCCUGCUUCUAGUUGCUACUUUUAUUCUUCGGAGUAGAGGGGCUAAUUAGAAGGACUGCCGCCGCUAAGGCGGAGGAAGGAGGGGGCUACGGCAGGUCAGUAUGCCCCGAAACCCUCGGG
Molecule: ribosomal RNA, 448 nt
Filed under: uncultured bacterium
Lineage: Bacteria
Description: bacterial SSU rRNA
Rfam family: Archaeal small subunit ribosomal RNA
Source: RNAcentral